GUCGGUCGCCGUUCGGUUCCGGUUCUGGCCCCGCCCUCACGCGGAAACCCUCCAGAAGUCUUAAUAUCCGGGACCAGAGGCUGGUUGCGGUGCGCAUUUCCGGCAACGAGCGCAAAGGAAGGGAUCCGGUUACGCCUCUUCCCGUCUUCCCAGCGGCCCAGGCUCUGGCUCUCGGUGCGGCAGCGCCAUCUGGUGCCGAGUCUCCCGCCACCCGCGGAGGUGGCACGCGCCCUUCUCACGGAACCUUCCAGAGAAACCGCGGCCCCUGCUUUCCUUUCUCCCGCCCUGGAGGGGGAGGGACCCGAGUCUCCGCUCCGCCGAGUUCCCGCGCGGGAGGGACUUUGUGGCGACUCUGAAGCGGAAGCUGCUUGUAGGAGGAGGUUUACGAACCCAAAAUGGAGCGGAAACUGGGUUGUUUCUCUAGUUUUAAGUCCAGAAGAAACGGUGUCCUUUUAUUUUUUGCUUCUUUAUGCCUUGUUGCUGGGUCAUUCUCAGUCUUCCCUGUGUCAGUUCUUUAAUCUUUGAGUACUGGGACCCUGUAUUAAUUGCCCGGUAGGAAGAUGACACGAGCUUUGUGGCUUACAUUGGCCUCUGCUGUAAAAGCUUUUGUUUCCUUUCGCCUAUUAAAGCGCUGUUGUAAAAGCCUGCUGUGUAUGUGUUAGGAACCCAUCGAGAAGCAGAAUGUAAUAAUUUGCUUUAAAAUAGGCCAUGGAAGUUUCAGAAAGGUAGCCUCAGAAAUGCUCAAUGUAGAUUCGUUUGCAUGUCAUGUUUCUUUUAGAUAAUCAGAGAAAGGAAAAAUAAUUCCCCCAAAGUUAGUAAAAUCAACACAUUUUCCUUUAAUAAUGAGUUGUUUUUUUCCUGUAAUCUUGGAGUACUAACAGUGUUGUUUUAAGUGUUUUAUUGGAAUGGUGCUGUGGAUAUCAAAAUAUAUAAUGAAACAAAUUUCCUUUAGAAUUUAGAUGGUACAUGUUAACUUGGCUCUUUGAUUGUAUUUCUCCAAUAGUAGUGGUUCUCAAACUGGAGCAUGCAUCCAGAUUCUCUAGAAGACUUGUUAAAACAGAUUGCUGGGCCUCAACCCCAGAGUUUAUAACUGGGAGGGAAGGUCUGGCGAUACAGCUGGAUUAGUGUAGCUCUAAUAAAAUCUCAGGUGAUUCUGAUGCUGUUAGUACUAGGACCACACCUGGAAUAAUUUAGAGUUCAGGAUUGCUUUGUCAAUAAUGCUUUUUGCUAUUUCAGGAGAGACGGCACUAAAUUAUACUGAUGAUACUAAGCCUGCACAAGUUAGUAGUCCUUUUGACUCCGUGGAUGGGAAGUAGGAAACUAAACCCUAGAACCAGUAGAGAGCUACAUAAAUAUCUGCAUAUGAUCAUGUGAUAGAGGGUGCUGUAAUACCAAGUAUACUAAAUAUUUCAGUUGUUAUGAAGUAAUUGUUCUUUAGCUGUUAAAUUAGAAAUGACUAAAAUUAAGGACAAAAUAGUUUAAACAAACAUACUAAUUUUACCCUUUGGAAGACGCCAGGUUUUUUCAGUCUUUUGCAUUUCCUCAAGUUCCCUUGUUUUACGGAAUUCUCUACCCCCAGCCCACUCUCAUCCCUACCAUGCCAUUUAUAAAUGUACACAGUGCUUACAUUAUAAAAAAUGAUCAUCUCAGAACUUGUCUCAUCUUUUCAGCAGGACUUUUCUCAAUUCUGUCAAAUUCUGACUGUGCCACUGCCUUUAUUGACACUAAUUAAAUCACACAGUGAUUAAAGUGUGCUGCAUACUGUAACUUUUGUGAUUGCUACAAAUAGAAAUACAGAUAUUGUUAGAUAAAUUUAUGUUUAUGAUAAUCAGUUCCUAAAAUGUAGAAGGCAGUCGGUUUUCUGGUCUCAAUUUUAUUUAAAUCACUGCUAUUUUGUUUACUGGAUGUAAGUUUCCCCCCCUCUGCUCCUCUAGCCUGAAUGGGCCUUCAUGAAAGAAGAAAAAAAAGGUUGAGAACAACUGUCUUAAAACCAUGGUAUUUCCCUAAUAGGCUAGUACCAUGUAUUUGGAUAAUUACUGAUGAAUCAUUUAAAUCAGGGAAAGAUGCAUGGUUUUGUUUUUUUUGUUGUUUUUUCUCUUUUUUUUUGUUUUGAGAUGGAGUCUUGCUCUGUCUUCCAGUCUGGAAGUACAGUGGCCCGAUUUCGGCUCACUGCAACCUCUGCCUCCCGGGUUCAAGCGAUUCUCCUGCCUCAACCUCCUGAGUAGCUGGGACUACAGGCGUGUGCCACCACACUGGCCACAGGUGGAAACAGCCUGAGGCCCUCACCAGAAACAGCUGCUGGUACCAUGCUUCUUGUACAGCCUGCAGAACUGUGAGCCAAGUAAACCUCUUUUCUUCAUAAAUUACCCAGCCUCAGGAACUACUGCUAUCUUGCUUUGGUAGUUACAGUAAAUCAAGAUAAAGACACCAGUCUGCUUGGACUCGUGGAGAGGUAGCAAACAGUCCACAGACAGUUUGCUCAUUUCGGAAGAAAGCUCCUGACUGAGGUUCUUUAGAUGCGUUUAACGGAGGGGCAGCUGUGCAAAAGCAUCACUGUUUCACUCUUUUCCAGACUGAUAUGAAGCGUCUGUCAUGUCACACAUAUGGAGUUCUCUACCAACAGCAAAGGCUAUUUAGUCAAGAACCUCGCUCUAUCACCCAGGCUGGAGUUCAGUGGCACA
Molecule: long non-coding RNA, 2681 nt
Organism: Pongo pygmaeus (Bornean orangutan)
Lineage: Eukaryota; Metazoa; Chordata; Mammalia; Primates; Hominidae
Exons: 5
Source: RefSeq, a predicted model, not a curated record